GGCUCGCAAAGAGGUGGACAUGACUGAAGGGACUGAGCGCACACACGUUGUGAUUUAUUGGCCUCUUGUGCAGUGAGCAGAGCAAUCAGUCUUGGAUUUGGUAACAAACUGACCUCACCAGAAUGGCCUGGAGGAAAACACCCCUCACCCCCAACCAAGGGCAGCAUGCAACCAACUUGAUAAGGAAAUACGAAAGUCCUCCUCCUUUGUCUCAAGCCUCCCAGAAACUCAGAUGAAGACUGUAUGUGAAAAUGUUUAUCAGUCCCAGAGAAAAUGAAAAUGCUACUUCUAUUUCUGAGAGUCAUGUGCUGAGUGCUGGCAUCCAAGUUGUAAAACUGUUCAAGAUUUUUGGACCCAAGAACUCCCACGUGUGAGAGAUCAGACCAUCUUGUGUCAUGCUUUAGAAUUUAGUGUCUCAUUUUCUUUAGUCUUUUCUAGCCCUAAUUCAUCUGUAUUUCAGUAAUCACAGCGACUAGCUUUUAUAGAUAUAUUUUCAUUAUACCUGAUUUGUCACAACUUUGAUUUUAUUUUAGUAAAUUAAGUAUCUUUACAGGGUGCAUAGUUUUGCAGAGUAGAACAGUUAGGAUUCUGAAUAUGGCAUUAGAAUGUAACCUUCUAAAGAACAGGAGUUUGUUUUAUUGUGCUAAAUAGUUUGUUACCUUUUG
Molecule: long non-coding RNA, 665 nt
Organism: Bos taurus (domestic cattle)
Lineage: Eukaryota; Metazoa; Chordata; Mammalia; Artiodactyla; Bovidae
Source: Ensembl